GACGAACGCUGGCGGCGUGCUUAACACAUGCAAGUCGAACGGAAAGGCCUGCUUUCCCUUGUGGAUUGCGGGUGCUCGAGUGGCGAACGGGUGAGUAACACGUGAGUGAUCUGCCCCCAACUUGGGUAUAAGCCUGGGAAACUGGGUCUAAUUCCCGAUAGGACUGCAGGGUGGUGCCUGUGGUGGAAAACGAUUUUCUAGUGGUUGGGGAUGAGCUCGCGGCCUAUCAGCUUGUUGGUGGGGUAAUGGCCUACCAAGGCGGCGACGGGUAGCCGGCCUGGGAGGGUGGACGGCCACAUUGGGACUGAGAUACGGCCCAGACUCCUACGGGAGGCAGCAGUGGGGAAUAUUGCACAAUGGGCGGAAGCCUGAUGCAGCGACGCCGCGUGGGGGAUGACGGCCUUCGGGUGGUAAACUCCUUUCGACCGCGAGGAAGCCACCUGGUUGGAAGGGUGGUGACGGUAGUGGUAGAAGAAGCACCGGCUAACUACGUG
RNAcentral lists this ribosomal RNA (494 nucleotides) under uncultured bacterium. RNAcentral's name for it is "partial 16S ribosomal RNA". It matches the Rfam family "Bacterial small subunit ribosomal RNA", at positions 28 to 507 of the family's 1533-position model. The record is from RNAcentral.